GUAUAGACCCGCCUAAAUCCG
RNAcentral lists this non-coding RNA (21 nucleotides) under Arabidopsis thaliana (thale cress). The record is from RNAcentral. Lineage: Eukaryota; Viridiplantae; Streptophyta; Magnoliopsida; Brassicales; Brassicaceae.